AAACCAGUAGUUCAGUUGGAAGAACACCUCCCUUUCACGGAGGAGGUCACGGGUUCGAUUCCUCGUCUGGUUUA
This 74-nucleotide transfer RNA is filed under the name Chitinophaga sp. S165. RNAcentral describes it as "tRNA-Glu". It matches the Rfam family "tRNA". Rfam says of the family: Transfer RNA (tRNA) molecules are approximately 80 nucleotides in length. Their secondary structure includes four short double-helical elements and three loops (D, anti-codon, and T loops). Further hydrogen bonds mediate the characteristic L-shaped molecular structure. tRNAs have two regions of fundamental functional importance: the anti-codon, which is responsible for specific mRNA codon recognition, and the 3' end, to which the tRNAs corresponding amino acid is attached (by aminoacyl-tRNA synthetases). tRNAs cope with the degeneracy of the genetic code in two manners: having more than one tRNA (with a specific anti-codon) for a particular amino acid; and 'wobble' base-pairing, i.e. permitting non-standard base-pairing at the 3rd anti-codon position. Lineage: Bacteria; Pseudomonadati; Bacteroidota; Chitinophagia; Chitinophagales; Chitinophagaceae. The record is from RNAcentral.